UUUUUUUUGUCGAUUAUAUUAUUAAGCCUUCUUAGGCAAAAAAUUCUAAACAAUAAGAACUAGCAAAACAAAUAUAAAAAAAAGAUACACCCGUAGGGAUCCAAAGUAAACUAACACAAAUCUAUUUUGCGUGUGGAUGACCAAAGAUUUUUCAUAUAAAAGCUCCAUAUUUGCUUUUAGAAUAGUUGAAUCUCAAAUGGGAUAAUCUUCAUAUUAAUCCAAAACCACCACGUUUCAAACUGAAUUGGGAACGAUUGCCACUCUUUUUAAUACUGCAGUAGGAGUCCCGAGACGAGACAACUCUUUAUAUUGCUCUAUUGAAAAUAAUAGAGUCAAAGAGAUUACCAUUCCAUAGAAUUUCGUGCUGCCUUUCGAAGUAACCAUAAUUUGCAGCAAGAACUCCAUCAUCAUCAAUGAAGAACCAUCAACGAUUGAAGCCAGUAAGACCCGUCUCUACCAUCCGCAGUAGAUCUGUCAAUUACUUCUAAACGGUUCAAUUGAACCAAAGUUUUUGUCUUACCAAAUCUAUUGGAAGAAACAUACAAAAGAACAAUAAAUUUUUUUGUCUGAUUUAAAAUAAAUUGACAAUCAAACAAACCAAGUGAUAGAAAGUAAAACAAAUCAAAGAAAAAGAAGCAAAGCGAAUCUAACAAGCCGAUGUCGGAGCAAUAGAAGCCUCCGGCCAUCGGCUUGAAACUAAAAAAAUAUUUCUCUUUUUCUCUUGACGGCUUGUAACUUCUACUUUGUAACGAUUUUUAUAUCACUUAUUCAGAAAAAAUCAUUGGUCCAGUCAUGAAUAUUCCAUAAAUUAUUUAUGUUCAAUAUUCGUUUUUUUUUUAUUUGACGUAUGCUUCAGAAUUAUGAUUUUGUUAGAUAUACACGAUCUUCAUCUAGAUUGACAUUUAGUCUUUUUGCUAGACAAAUUUAAAUAACAUAAAGAACCAUAUCCUAGUUUAUUUAGUAUUAGGUUGGCCGCCCUACGGACGGGAAGUUAUAGUAGAACUAUUUUACUAUGUUAAAUAGUGUUUAUCUUUUUGUUUAAAAACUAAUUUAAGUUAACACUUAGUGUUUUGACCCAAAAAUAGUAUUUAGAGUUAUGAUAUAAGAUAAUUCUAUUUGUAACAGUUUUCCAAUGGUGUGGUGAUUUUGUAUUUAGUCGUUUGAUGUUGGGAAUUGUUUAAAAUUAGAAAGUUAUUAUUAGAACAGUCGCAACACUUUUGAGAGUCACAUAUUUAGUUACCAUUAGGAAUUCUAUAAUGUAUGUGAGGAAAUAUUAUUUAUGAGAAAUGCAAUGUUUAUUUUUUGUGUAGACGAAUAAUUUAAGUACUAUUUGAAAACGUAAACGGACUGGCUAAUAAAGAGACGAUUAAAUAUAAGAACUUAUUGAGUGGGAUUCAUUUGAACUUUUUUAGCCUAUAUUCUUAAAUUAAAAUUGUAGAAAGUGUGUAUAUUCACCAGUUCUUUUUGCUUACAACUUUAUGCCUUGAACAUUUGCACCAUUUUAAGUGAUUUUGAUGGGAGAUCUCAAAUAUUAUAAAGGAAGAAAUUGGGUGUUGAGAGUUUUGCUUACUGAGGUGGCAUAUUUGACCAAUUAGAUUUUGCUACUGAUCCCAGAACUUUUAUAUGAGAAGAUUGAUUAUGUUCUCUAUGUUUAAUCAAACAUAGAGAAUCAAAUUAAAACAUACCAAGCGAAUAUAGCAUACUGAAGCAAAUAAAACAUUAGUGAAGCAAUGGUAAUACAAAUAUCACAGCAUUUGGAAUAUUAGGUAGAUGUUUUAGUACGACCACGACCCUUUCCUCGUGCUGACUCUGGUUGAACUGAGUCGUAUGCACCUAUUGCUCUCAGAUAAUGUAGGUAAUCUGGGUCAAUGUCUUCUUCCGGUUCCUCAAUGCGUAUCAAUUGGUAGCUUCUGAGCUCGGUUUUGGUUAGCUUGUAUGCAUUAGUUACUCCUGAGGUUGAGCUUUCUUGAGUGCUUAUUGAUGUGGCUUGUUGAGCUGUGUUGACCGCUAAUUGUUGUGGCGGUUGUUGUGGCUGGUUGAGCUGUGUUGACUGCUUCUUUGCUUCCAUCAGAGUUGCUAGCAGGAAACGUUAACCAAAUUUAGAACUUUAAAAUAAGGAAAAAAAUGAAAAUAAGAACAUGCAAAUUAAGUUAAUGAACAAAGCUACCUGGAGAAGAAAUUAGUGAAGACUAAUCCGAUAAAUUUACAAAAGUUAGAUCUUUGACUAUCUCUACAAACUGAGACUAUUGGUUAUCUUUGAGAUACGUAAGGCUUCAAAUCUAGGCGGAUCUAUGAGGCUUGUGGUGUAUUUGAAAGAUUUGUAAGAUGGAUGAAUAAGAUCAAGGGUUUAGAUGUUGAUAACCUGUGUGAGAUAACGCUGUAAUCUAAAUUGUGGCGGUGGAAGACAGAUUCGAGAUAGGAUUGCGGAGGCACUGAGAGUUUGUGGUGGCUUGAGAUGUAUUACGACAUAUGAAAGAGACUUGUGGUGGUUUGAGGGAAGAGAGAAAUCGAUAAGGGUAGUAAAAUCUUUGGGUUGGCUCCCUAUAUUAGGAAAUUCCGGCGUUACUUCCAAUAAGUUCGAACAAUGAGAGCCAAUGGUGAGGAUAACUUCAACUAUUAAUCUCAACCGUCGAAUCAUGUCAAUCCAAUGGUAUAAGUAGUUGUUAUUCGGAAAUCAAAUAUUGGGACCGUAACCAUUAUGCUUACAAAGCCUUCUUACAAAGCCUCGACCGUUCCUCCAACAAACUCAAUGACUCCCUCCCUUAUCACCUCUGCCACCGGCCUGCGAUGAUGGUCGAGUACGUUUCUUGCGGCUAUGCGAGAGGAAGAUGCGUUUUUGGCAGAGUCAUGUCCAAUGGUGUGGUGAUUUUGUAUUUAGUCGUUUGAUGUUGGGAUUUGUUUAAAAUUAGAAAGUUAUUAUUAGAACAGUCGCAACACUUUUGAGAGUCACAUAUUUAGUUACCAUUAGGAAUUCUAUAAUGUAUGUGAGGAAAUAUUAUUUAUGAGAAAUGCAAUGUUUAUUUUUUUUGUAGACGAAUAAUUUAAGUACUAUUUGAAAACUUAAACGGACUGGCUAAUAAAGAGACGAUUAAAUAUAAGAACUUGUUGAGUGGGAUUCAUUUGAACUUUUUUAGCCUAUCUUCUUAAAUUAAAAUUGUAGAAAGUGUGUAUAUUCACCAGUUCUUUUUGCUUACAACUUUAUGCCUUGAACAUUUGCACCAUUUUAAGUGAUUUUGAUGGGAGAUCUCAAAAGUUAUAAAGGAAGAAAUUGGGUGUUGAGAGUUUUGCUUACUGAGGUGGCAUAUUUGACCAAUUAGAUUUUGCUACUGAUCCCAGAGAUUUUGUAUGAGAAGAUUGAUUAUGUUCUCUAUGUUUAAUUUUUAAAAAUAUUCAAGAAUAGAAGAUUCAAAAUUUUGCUAUGUUUUUUAUGUCUUGCAAUUAGAUUAUGUAUCUUAAAUAAAAGCAUUAAGAACACUGUAUGAACUAUAUAAACCAAAAAAAAAGAGUUAAAAAAACAACAUCUAAGCAAAAGUGAGUUGACUAUACAAAUUGGAACAUUGGAAAAAUUACUAAAAAAAUGUUUCGGUGUAAUAAUUGAAAUCUCAAAAUAUAUAGUACGCUCAAGAAUCUGAAAAUAACUUUGAAAAAAUAGAAUCUUCACAUACAUAUUAAUGCAUGUAUUACAUUUACCUAAUAAAAAGUACAAAUCGCUGAACCUUUCUAUUAAGUAUCCCAGUUAUAUCUAUUAUACACAAUUUUUAAGGCCAAUUUAAAACUUUAUACUCUUAAUUUUAAACAAACUCUUAAUCUUUAAACUAUGAACUUAACCAGUAAACUUUAUUCUCCAUGACUUUAUAUUCAAGUAGCAAUGAUUGUAUCAGAUUUAAUAAUAGUCAUUGAUUAAAUUUUAAUCGAACGGUGGAGAAUCAAUCUCAACCUCUCUUUUUUUGUCCUUUUCUGUGCACUAAGAAACGAUCCAGAAACAUGUUUUCUUCACAUUUUUUUCAGAUUCAAAUCUCUAUCUUCUUAUCACACGUUUCUCUUUUCUUCUUUUUCUUCUCUACAUUUUUUCUAUGUCUAGUAAUUUGUUUAUUUUUUUCUCUGUUUUAUUAAAUGAAUCUCGUCUUCUUUCUAUUUCAUCUUCUUCUUUUUCUCUGCUGAAACUUGCCGUGUGUCGUACUCGUUGUCACCACUCUAGUUCAUCACCUCUCUUUUCAGAAUUCAAGGUUAAAAGGUGUGGAGGAAAAAGAAAAGCUUGACGGUGGUGGGAUUGAGAAAAGCGGAGCUGAAUGGUGGAUGCGACGAUGGCCACUUGGGAAGAACCCUAAAAAUGGAUCGAAGCGCGUUAGAGAUACUGGAGAUUGGGCCAUCCAAGAACGAAGCCCAUAUAAACCGAAGCCCAUAUAAACCAAAGCCCACCUAGACUUAAUGAAAAGUGGCGUUUUAAAAUGGGGGGACACAUGUCGGCUUCUCAAUACUUGAAUUAGUGAUGUGUCUGCCUACGCACGGAUAAAAUUGUCGUGUGAUCUAUAUUAUUAUAUAAUUGUAUAUUUUCAUUGCAUGUGUUUAUGUUAAGAUUUGGAAGAGGAGUGUAUAAUAACGUCAAUGGUUUUUAAGUAUUUUUCGGCACAAAGGA
This is a long non-coding RNA of Brassica napus (rape), 4636 nucleotides long. RefSeq lists it as uncharacterized. The record is from RefSeq and is a predicted model, not a curated record. The transcript has 2 exons. NCBI's taxonomy places the organism in Eukaryota, Viridiplantae, Streptophyta, Magnoliopsida, Brassicales, Brassicaceae.